This 485-nucleotide ribosomal RNA is filed under the name uncultured archaeon. RNAcentral describes it as "bacterial SSU rRNA". It matches the Rfam family "Archaeal small subunit ribosomal RNA", at positions 378 to 866 of the family's 1478-position model. The record is from RNAcentral.
UACUCCAGUGCAUGGGGUAAGACCAAUGCUUUUCUAGACUCUAAAAAGGUCUUGGAAAAAAGGGGGGUAAGGACGGUGCCAGCCGCCGCGGUACCCCGGCGCCUCAAGUGGUCAUCACUUUUUUGGGCCUAAAGCGUCCGUAGCCGGCUUGAUACAUUCGUGGUUAAAUCAACCAGCUUAACUGGUUGAAUUCUGCGAGGACGGUCAGACUUGGGGACCGGGAGAGGUGUGGGGUACGCUCAGGGUAGGGGUAAAAUCCUGUCAUCCUGAGCGGACCACCUGUUGCGAAGGCGCCACACUAGAACGGAUCCGACGGUCAGGGACGAAGCCUAGGGGCACGAACCGGAUUAGAUACCCGGGUAGUCCUAGGUGUAAACGCUGUGACCUUGAUGUUGGGGGUGCUCCGAGCACUCUCAGUGUCGAAGCGAAGGUGAUAAGUCCACUGCCUGGGAAGUACGGUCGCAAGGUUGAAACUUAAAGGAAUU